Molecule: ribosomal RNA, 459 nt
Filed under: uncultured bacterium
Lineage: Bacteria
Description: partial 16S ribosomal RNA
Rfam family: Bacterial small subunit ribosomal RNA
Source: RNAcentral
CCUACGGGGGUCAGCAGUGAGGAAUAUUGGUCAAUGGCCGCGAGCCUGAACCAGCCAAGUCGCGUGAGGGAAGACGGUCCUACGGAUUGUAAACCUCUUUUGCCGGGGAGCAAAAGACGCCACGCGUCGCGUUCCGAGAGUACCCGAAGAAAAAGCAUCGGCUAACUCCGUGCCAGCAGCCGCGGUAAUACGGAGGAUGCGAGCGUUAUCCGGCUUUAUUGGGUUUAAAGGGUGCGCAGGCGGAAGAUCAAGUCAGCGGUAAAAUUGAGAGGCUCAACCUCUUCCAGCCGUUGAAACUGGGUGUCUUGAGUGAGCGAGAAGUAUGCGGAAUGCGUGGUGUAGCGGUGAAAUGCAUAGAUAUCACGCAGAACUCCGAUUGCGAAGGCAGCAUACCGGCGCUCAACUGACGCUCAUGCACGAAAGUGUGGGUAUCGAACAGGAUUAGAUACCCUGGUAGUC